RNAcentral lists this ribosomal RNA (176 nucleotides) under Taenia solium (pork tapeworm). RNAcentral's name for it is "partial small subunit ribosomal RNA". The record is from RNAcentral. Lineage: Eukaryota; Metazoa; Platyhelminthes; Cestoda; Cyclophyllidea; Taeniidae.
UAUAUCUGGUUUGAUAUUAUUGUUGAAUAGUAUAAUUUGUGUAGUGUUAGUUAAGCCAAGUCUAUGUGCUGCUUAUAAAAGUAUUUAUGCGUUACUUUGAUAAAGUUUUAGUUGUAAUACUAUUAUAUAUUUAGGACUUAAAAGUAAUAUCAAAUUAGUUUGUUGGUGUGAAAUAA